UAGCAUAUCAAUAAGCGGAGGAAAAGAAACCAACAGGGAUUCCCCUAGUAACGGCGAGUGAAGCGGGAACAGCUCAAAUUUGAAAUCUGGCCCUCGGGUCCGAAUUGUAAUUUGCAGAGGAUGCUUUUGGUUAGGUACUUUCCGAGUUCCCUGGAACGGGACGCCUUAGAGGGUGAGAGCCCCGUACGGUUGGAUACCGAGCCUUUGUAAAGCUCCUUCGACGAGUCGAGUAGUUUGGGAAUGCUGCUCUAAAUGGGAGGUAAAUUUCUUCUAAAGCUAAAUACCGGCCAGAGACCGAUAGCGCACAAGUAGAGUGAUCGAAAGAUGAAAAGCACUUUGAAAAGAGGGUUAAAUAGCACGUGAAAUUGUUGAAAGGGAAGCGUUUAUGACCAGACUUUUUCCAGGCGGAUCAUCCGGUGUUCUCACCGGUGCACUUCGUCUGGUUGAGGCCAGCAUCGGUUUUCGUAGAGGGAUAAAAGCUUUAGGAAUGUGGUUCCUCCGGGAAUGUUAUAGCCUAUUGUAUAAUACCUCUACGGGGACCGAGGUUCGCGCUCUGCAAGGAUGCUGGCGUAAUGGUCAUCAACGACCCGUCUUGAAACACGGACCAAGGAGUCGAACAUUUGUGCGAGUGUUUGGGUGUUAAACCCUCACGCGUAAUGAAAGUGAACGGAGGUGAGAGCCCUUACGGGUGCAUCAUCGACCGAUCCUGAUGUUUUCGGAUGGAUUUGAGUAAGAGCAUAACUGUUCGGACCCGAAAGAUGGUGAACUAUGCGUGGAUAGGGUGAAGCCAGAGGAAACUCUGGUGGAGGCUCGCAGCGGUUCUGACGUGCAAAUCGAUCGUCAAAUCUGCGCAUGGGGGCGAAAGACUAAUCGAACCAUCUAGUAGCUGGUUACCGCCGA
Molecule: ribosomal RNA, 900 nt
Filed under: Beltraniella humicola
Lineage: Eukaryota; Fungi; Ascomycota; Sordariomycetes; Amphisphaeriales; Beltraniaceae
Description: LSU rRNA
Rfam family: Eukaryotic large subunit ribosomal RNA
Source: RNAcentral